Molecule: ribosomal RNA, 253 nt
Filed under: uncultured bacterium
Lineage: Bacteria
Description: partial 16S ribosomal RNA
Rfam family: Bacterial small subunit ribosomal RNA
Source: RNAcentral
AACGUAGGUGGCAAGCGUUAUCCGGAUUUACUGGGCGUAAAGGGUGUGCAGGCGGGGUAGCAAGUGGGGUAUGAAAUCUCCAGGCUUAACCUGGAGGGGUUAUGCCAGACUGCUGCUCUAGAGGACGAGAGAGGGGGGUGGAAUUCCGGGUGUAGUGGUGAAAUGCGUAGAGAUCCGGAGGAACCCCAGAGGCGAAGGCGGCCCCCUGGCUCGUGCCUGACGCUCAGCCACGAAAGCAUGGGGAGCGAACGGG